This 154-nucleotide transfer RNA is filed under the name Pseudocercospora fijiensis CIRAD86. It matches the Rfam family "tRNA". From Rfam's summary of the family: Transfer RNA (tRNA) molecules are approximately 80 nucleotides in length. Their secondary structure includes four short double-helical elements and three loops (D, anti-codon, and T loops). Further hydrogen bonds mediate the characteristic L-shaped molecular structure. tRNAs have two regions of fundamental functional importance: the anti-codon, which is responsible for specific mRNA codon recognition, and the 3' end, to which the tRNAs corresponding amino acid is attached (by aminoacyl-tRNA synthetases). tRNAs cope with the degeneracy of the genetic code in two manners: having more than one tRNA (with a specific anti-codon) for a particular amino acid; and 'wobble' base-pairing, i.e. permitting non-standard base-pairing at the 3rd anti-codon position. Lineage: Eukaryota; Fungi; Ascomycota; Dothideomycetes; Mycosphaerellales; Mycosphaerellaceae. The record is from Rfam by way of RNAcentral.
AGCUAGUUAGUCUAGUAGUAUAAUUCUUAGCUACAAAAGACCUAUAUUUCCUAGCUACUUAGCUAUAAUAGUCCCCGCCUAGCUAUAGGCUAUUUAAGGGGAUAUAGGAUCGAUAGGGUCUAAGAGGUCGUAGGUUCAAUUCCUAUACUAGUUA